GGGGAGGAAAGGGAUCCAGGGCCCCUCUCUGCCCCCAUGGCAGCUUCUUGUAGAUCCACAGCUGACCCUGAGAAGAGCAAAAUGCAGCAAGCAUGAGCCAAAACAAACAAAAAUGCACAGCAGCUAUGGAAAGUUAAGCCACAAGCCACAGGAGCUAUAGCUCCAAAGUUCAUGAGCAAGAGCUAGAGGAAAGAGGCAGCAGGGCAGGGUGGAGGCCCUGAUCCGGACGGCUGGUGAGGAUCGCUACAGCCCCCAUCCCAUGGAAACAAUAGGAGGAGGCCAGAGCGCAGGGCGGGGAUGAACCACCAGUUGCUCUGGAAUCGCAUCGCAGGACUAGUGUCUCAGCCAGAAGCCACGCAGAACUGCUGCUGCUAAGAACCAUCCAGGGGAAAGGCAGAUUCAUAAACACCACGCUGUGGCCCCGUCCACCAUAUGCUCUGCAUCUGGCACUGCGACUACUGGCUCUUCCUGAGUCCACGUGACCAUGAAAGGGGGACGUCUGAGUCAAUGCAGGACGUCCAGGCCGCCAGGACAGCUCAUCUACAAACACU
Molecule: non-coding RNA, 551 nt
Organism: Heterocephalus glaber (naked mole-rat)
Lineage: Eukaryota; Metazoa; Chordata; Mammalia; Rodentia; Bathyergidae
Source: RefSeq, a predicted model, not a curated record